AGUGAACGCUGGCGGUAGGCUUAACACAUGCAAGUCGAACGGCAGCACAGUAAGAGCUUGACUACACGGGUGGAGAGUGGCAGAGGGGUGAGAUAUACCUGGACAUAUACAUUUUCGUGGGGGAUCAAGUAGGGAGACUGACGCUUAUACCGCAUACCACGUGCGGGAGAAAGCAGGAGCGCUUCAGCUCUCGCUCGUCUGACUGCCGCGAUGUCGGAUUAGCUAGUUGGCGGGGUAAAGGCCCACCAAGGCGACGAUCCGUAGCUGGUCUGAGAGGACGAUCAGCCACACUGGAACUGAGACACGGUCCAGACUCCUACGGGAGGCAGCAGUGGGGAAUAUUGGACAAUGGGCGCAAGCCUGAUCCAGCCAUACCGCGUGGAUGAAGAAGGCCUUCGGGUUGUAAAGCCCUUUUGUUGGGAAAGAAAAGCAGCAGGUUAAUACCCCGCUGUGCUGACGGUACCCAAAGAAUAAGCACCGGCUAACUUCGUG
This 492-nucleotide ribosomal RNA is filed under the name uncultured bacterium. RNAcentral describes it as "partial 16S ribosomal RNA". It matches the Rfam family "Bacterial small subunit ribosomal RNA", at positions 29 to 507 of the family's 1533-position model. The record is from RNAcentral.